UCUGUCCUACGGGAGGCAGCAGUGGGGAAUAUUGGGCAAUGGGCGCAAGCCUGACCCAGCAACGCCGCGUGAAGGAAGAAGGCUUUCGGGUUGUAAACUUCUUUUAAGGGGGACGAACAAAUGACGGUACCCCUUGAAUAAGCCACGGCUAACUACGUGCCAGCAGCCGCGGUAAUACGUAGGUGGCAAGCGUUAUCCGGAUUUACUGGGUGUAAAGGGCGUGCAGCCGGGAGUGCAAGUCAGAUGUGAAAUCCCGCGGCUCAACCGCGGAACUGCAUUUGAAACUGUGCUUCUUGAGUGCUGGG
Molecule: ribosomal RNA, 305 nt
Filed under: uncultured bacterium
Lineage: Bacteria
Description: bacterial SSU rRNA
Rfam family: Bacterial small subunit ribosomal RNA
Source: RNAcentral